This 254-nucleotide ribosomal RNA is filed under the name uncultured bacterium. Its description in RNAcentral is "partial 16S ribosomal RNA". It matches the Rfam family "Bacterial small subunit ribosomal RNA", at positions 524 to 776 of the family's 1533-position model. The record is from RNAcentral.
UACAGAGGUCCCGAGCGUUGUUCGGAUUCACUGGGCGUAAAGGGUGCGCAGGUGGGUUGGCAAGUUCGAUGUGAAAGCCCCGGGCUUAACCCGGGAAAGGCAUUGGAUACUGCCGAUCUGGAGGAUUGGAGGGGGGACUGGAAUUCUUGGUGUAGCAGUGAAAUGCGUAGAUAUCAAGAGGAACACCAGUGGCGAAGGCGAAGUCCCUGGACAAUACCUGACACUGAGGCACGAAAGCCAAGGGAGCAAACAGG